This 8063-nucleotide long non-coding RNA is filed under the name Nicotiana tabacum (common tobacco). Its description in RNAcentral is "long non-coding RNA (NTAB_LNC018546)". Lineage: Eukaryota; Viridiplantae; Streptophyta; Magnoliopsida; Solanales; Solanaceae. The record is from RNAcentral.
AUUGACGUGACAAUCAAUGUGGCUUGACCUUUUUUCAUCUUUGACCAUAUUUUCUUUUAUAUUUUUAUUUUUUUACUUCAAACUUGGGGAAAGUUUUACCCCAUACACUCUACCCACACCCCACUUAUAUUUUUACACUAUAAAACAGAAGCCCCCCCUCCCACUUCAAAUUUUUAUCCCUAGCCUGACCCUAAAUUUUAAUCUCUCAUAUCUUUCAUUCUAGAGAGCACUAGCUGCUAGCCCUCUUAUCUCUCUCCCUUGGGCGAUCUACGCCCACCACUGUCGCCACCGGAUUUCAUUCAAUGGCUGGCCGUCCAUGACUACACCUAACUGUAGCUCCUCUCUCCUUCCCUUUCUCCCAUGGCAGCCUUAAGCUCUCUCUCUUUCUCCCUCCAUUUCUGGCCACCACCUGGCGAUACCGCCGGAGGUGAUGACCGGCCAGGUGGUGACACUCACUGAGUCAUGCUGCUCUCUAGCCUCCCUCUCAAACGCCGAAGACUCGAUGAGGCAAUCCAACAAAGUUUUAGAUCUAACCAAAGGUCACAGAUCUGGCCAGAUUUUUGGAUUUUUCCGAUGACUUCCGCCAUUACAAUCAUCUCCUCCUAUUCUUUGUUAUUUUUCUUUUGUUACAGGUUAAUAGAUCCGUUAAUAGUGGAGUUAAAACGCCAGAGUUUGUCACUAUUUUCGUCCCUACUACUGUUGUUACUUUGUUCGUCUGUUGACCAUAUUUUUCGGCGACCCUCCAUUAAAUCUGGCGACUCUCUUUCUUCUCGUCCUUUUUACUAUUUUUUGGGCUUUUAAUAUUACGAAAAGACAGAUCUAAAAAUAGUUUGAUUGCUGACCAGAUUUUGGCCGGAAAAUAUUUUCCGGCGACGCUUCUAUUUGACUGUUAUGAUGCCUUAUUUCUGCUAUUUGGUUGGAUCGUUCUUGAUAAUGUUGGCCCGUAUUUGUACCUAAUGGUUUAUAUGUUUGAGUCAGCUGUGUUUCGUCUGAUGCUUUGCGCUCUUGGUUUGGAAAUGUUUGGUUAUUGUUGAAUUCUUACUGCUUUAGCUUUGAAAUUUUCGAACACUUAUGUGUUAGCUUGGCACUGUUUUGAUACUGAUUCACUCACUUUUUUGUGUUGGACAUGUACUGGUGUUGAUGCAAUACUACACAGUUGGAUGGUUUUGACUGUGGACGAAUGUUACACUAGUUUUGGAUAUACUAUACCGAACAAGGCCGAUGAGAAUAAAUUUUUGAGGCCACGACGCCCUGAAUGACCCUCCGGACUGGACCCUACAAUAACGAGGCAAUGAUGAUAAACAUUAAAAAAGAAAAAGACAGAGAACGCGAACCAACAACCUACGGAGGGCGACACGGUUGGCCACCGGAGUCGCAAACCAAGGCGGUUCUCGUUCUCAUAUCUAGACGGAUAUUAAAAAUACAUAUAUGAGUCUCCUAUAUUAUUUUAAAAUAUUUUUCAAAAAUAAUUUUCCAAAAACAUUUUCAAACUAUUUUCAAAAACAAUCUAUCAAAAACAUUUUCAAAUAAAAUCAUUUUAGAAUAAAUUAGUUUAUUGUUUACUUUAUAUUUUACUAAUAAUUUCAUUUCUCUUAUCUUGCGAGGUGUUAUCACACGAAGUUGCUUUCAAAGAAUGACACUCGAAGACGAAAAGACAAAUCCUCGUCAAGCUUCCCGCUUUGUAACUUUCCUUCUUAGAUGCAAAAAAUGCAAGUAUAGUGAAAUCGUAGAUAGAUAUCGUAUUUGCUAGCUUGCUUGAUAUUUGCAUAUUUGCCAACACUUAGGAUGAGCCGUAUCUACUUAAGAAUCUGGUUAACUUACGAAGCUGUGCAUUAUAUAACUCGUUAUGCUUAUAUACACAUAUUUAGGAUAUCGAGUAUAUUUCGUAACUUAUUUGGUUAAUUGGGAUAGAUAUGCAUAUAAUUAAUUGAAUUAGAUACAUAAAUAAUAAAAAUAAAAAGUAUUGCAUCUUUUUUUCAAAACAAAUAACCUUACUUGUUUUUUUAUAAUUAUACUAUGAUACUUUUUAAACCAAUCUACUUGUAUAUUAUUCCUUAAUAAUUACACUCCAAUUAGACAUAACUUGCAAAAUAUCAUAGUUGAAUUGUCACAUUUUGAAUUUUUUAGACCUUACUCAUUUGGGCUUGUCCCAAACAAUUGGUAUCUCAAAAUAGUCCUUUGCUAUUCAUUAUAUUAUGUCUAGUUUUAUUUACAAAUGUUUCUCUUAUAUAUUUGUAUAUUUUAUAGCAUAUCCAUUCUUUGCUCACUAAAACAAUUCUUUCACUCUGCUCAUUAUAUAUUGAGAUAAUUCUUUCUACACUCUUUGGUCAAGUUACUUGUUAAAUAUCUACUCAUGUGCAAAUAAAUAAUCUUUCUCUUUUUUUUUCCUCAAUCCUUUAGUAUAAGUUUCUCCUUGUUAUAGUCAUCCAUCUAAACUUUUAAACCCUAAUUAUGAGUCGUCUCUCAUUAAGUUUAUUCUCGUAAGUUUAAGAAUUUGUUCAAACACUUUGAGUUAACUUGCAUUCUUUAAAUGCAAUUGUUUUUUAUAUUAUUCAAUUUACACUAAACUAUCAUUCUUUAAUAUCCAUUUUUAUUCUUUCAUAUACAAUAUUUUGUUGCACAUAUAGUUUAUCAAAUAUUUUGUUAUUCUUAUCCAGAACUCACUUUGUACUCAGCUUAUCUUUUGGAAUACGAUUCCCUCGUCCACUUUAUAUAUAUUUUAUACUAGUCAAUAUAGUUUAACUAUUUCAUUUUAAAACACCAAAAAAUACUUGCAUACUUCAUCCGCACAUAUUUCAUUAUCUAUUUAAUAUUAUUACUGUUUAUUCUAGUACAUGUUAACCAUUCUUUUAUUCUUUGUAAUAGUUGUGAGUAUUUGCUAAUUAUCUUUGAACAUUCCCUCCUUUAUUUGAUCGAGUCCACCGGAACCCCAUUUUGUGGAUCUCGAGGGAUGCCUAACACUUUUCUCUCGAGAUAACUUGAACCCUUACUUAGAAUCUCAACGGUUUCGCAGACCACAAUUUAGCGUAUAUUAUGUAAUGUAAUAUAGGUGUCAUAGUAUACCUUAAUUACUAGGUGGCAACUCUAAACUCCAAUUAACCUUGUAGAGUACUAUAAGUUGUAUAUUAUUUUGACUUGUGCAAAAUAUGGUGCAACACUUAGCAGGAGGUGUAGAGGAGAAAUAGAGGAUUCGACUGAGGUUGGUUUGAGGGAAUUUGGUUAACUCCGGCCGGUGGAAGCAAUUUUUGGUCGGUGAUCAACAGUGGUUUGAGGGUGGCGGGUGGUGGAAGCAAUUUCCAACCACCGAGGACAAGAAAGAGAGAAGAGAGAAAGUGCCUGUAAGAUCUGAUUUUUAAGUUUGGGUCCUUUUUUAAAAGGAAUCUUUAGAUGAAACGAUGUCGUUUCAUUUUGCCACUACUUCGUUUGUAGGGGUUAGGAGAUAGGGUCAGACCAUAUCUUAGAAUUAGACUGAUAGAGGUUUUCUUUGCAAAGACUGGGCCAAAAGAGGCAGGCCUAGUUCAAUUUCAGUGACUAACAACCCCAUUCCCUUUCCCCUUUAAUGUUUACAAUUAAUCACUUUUAACUUGAUUUUUCAAUUAACCUUAUUUUACACAUUUAGCCCAUUUUCCUCAAUUACCUAAAUAAUUUGCUAUCAAGUCAUCAUUAAACUAAUUAUUUAUCUAAUUAUGCAAUUAAAAUCUAAACAUGCAAUAAUAAAAGAUAAAAAUGUAUUUUUUGUGGUUUUAAUGGUUUAAAUUGCAAUUAAUUACGCCCUUAAAAAUGCAAAAAUGUAAUUUUAUGUGAGAAUGUAAUUAAAAUGCAAAAAAGUAAAUAAAAAUUCCUAAAAAUCCUAUAAAAAUUAGAAACAUCUGAAUUGUUAAUUUAAAGUCAUUGCAGGAGCAAAUUUUAAGUAGGGCAAAAAUUAUGUGCUUACAGCUGCCCUUCUUUACUCGAGACCAUAAAGAGUUUUCGAGCAAAGAAAGAAUGAGCAUUGUGAUUAAACUUUUCCUGUUUAGAACUCCACGAGAAGUUGUUUAAAAAAUUUUAUCGAACCUUGCUUCCGAUAUUACCUACAUAUCCUUGGCUAUAAAGAAAUCAGGUCAGUGUAGUUUUGAAAGUUUUGGUAGCUAAGACUAUCGAAGAGUUGUGAGUUACUAUUGUUGCUAUUUUGCUUAUCUCCUUAUUACACCAAAAACAAGAUCAAAAGCAACUAGAUAUGCCUAUCAACUAGGUGCUAUAAGAUUUCUAUCUAUAAGUCUUCGGAAGUCUUGUCUUGACUUGUUCUUCGUGUGACCUAGACUUGAGUCUUGAUGCUCUUUAGUUGUAGGUGUUGGAUCACUCCCGUGUGCUUAUUUCUUGAUCAGGAUGGAAGAUAUGACUCUUGUGACACUGGUCAUUCUUAGUGUGACUUGUGCCAUAUUCCAUUUGUUUAUUGUGAUUUGAACAUGUUUCUUUUUUUUAUCAGGACCUAGAGCUUUUCUUUUCGUUGAUCACCUAAUCUUUGUGCUCCAAGGAAAACUCUAUAAAGACCCCAAAGAUGAACAAACAAACAAAAUCUUCUCUCCCAAUUUCACUAGGAAACAUUUUAUGAGUUAUUGUAACAGAAUCAUAAACAAUUCUUUUUAUAGAAAGCAAGAAAUUUUUGUAGGGAAUGAUGUACCCCGUGGAAUCAUGAUUUUAGGGAACGAUGUACCCUUUUUGAAAUGGGACCUUAACUAGGGAUUGUUGUACCCUAUAACAAAAAAUACAGCUAGGGAUUGGUGUAUCCCAUGCUAAUACAUGACUAGGGAAUGGUGUACCAUUAUAUUAAAAUAAUACCUCAAUUAACGAUUAGUGUACCUUAUAUGGGAAAAUGCAGCUUGGGAGUGAGAUACUCUAUGCUAACAUGAGACUAAGGAGUGGGUAUCCUUUUGUUAGAAUAUCUUAAAAAAGGUAAUGAUGUACCCUAUGUUAGAAAUAUAACUAGGGAUUGAUGUACCCUACGCUAAUAUGUGACUACAGAGUGGUGUACUCUUUUGUCAGAAUAUCUUCAACUAGGGAAUGGUGUACCCUAUGUUGGAAAAUACAGCUAGGGAGUGGUGUACUAUAUGCUAACAUGAGACAAGGAAGUGGUGUACCUGUAACGACCCGACCGAUAGUUUUGCCUUUUAGAACCCCUUUCUUCUAAAUAAGACUCUUCGUAUGUGCUUUUACUGUUUCAUAACUUGCAAGAAUGGUUAGUUCGAGUUUGGAAGGAUUCAGAUUGAAAUCGGAACAAUUAGCUGGUUAGCAUUGGCUUUAAAUGGUUAAGUUUGACUUGGGUCAACAUUUCUAGUAAACGACCUCGGAAUUGGAAUUUGACUGUCCUAAUAGGUUCGUAUGAUAAUUUUUGACUUGGGCAUAUAUUCGUAUCGGGUUUUGGAUGACCCAGGGGCGUUUCAAUGCAUAAAGUUGAAAGUGGGCGCAUUGAAGUUUUUAAAGUUCUUUAAAUUUGGUUUGGAGUAGAUUUUGGUGUUAUCGAGGUUUGUUUGGGAUUCCGAGCCUAGGAAUAGUUCUGUAUGGUGAUUUAAGACUUGCACGCAAAAUUUGGUGUCAUUCCGAGUAGUUUAAGUAUGAUUCAGCGCGUUCGGAGCGAAUUAGAAGAACUUGAAGUCCAUAAGUUGAUUUGAUUUUAAUUUGGAGUCUGAUUCUUAGUUUUGGUGUUGUUUUCCGUAUUUUGUGAGGUCGAGCAUGUCCAUGUUAUGAUUUCAAACUCGUUGAUAUGUUUGGACGAGGCCUCGUGGGCCUCGGAUGCUAUUCAGACAAUACGCGGAACUCGUUUGGACUUGGAAAGAUGGCUGAAGCAGCAGAGCUUCUGGUGCAAUCGCACCUGCUAGGAGCUAGUCGUAGGUGCGAACUCACAGGUGCGAGCGUGUGGCCACAGAAGCAGUUUGGAGUGAGUUGGCUGUGCCCCGUAGAAGCAGAGAGAUUUUUGUAGAAGCGGCCUUGAUUCUGUGAGGCAAGGGCCGCAGGUGCGAAGAGGGCCAGCCAAGCCUGGGUCGCAGAUGCGAGAGGUGAGCCGUAGAAGUGGACUCGCAGGUGCGGUGUCCUUUCCGCAGGUGCGCCUACUGCUGGCUUGGAGCAUUCUGCAGAAGCGAACCUUCAUCCACAGAAGCGGUGCCGCAGAUGCAGCCAAUUCUCCACAGAAGCGGAAAUCGCUGGGAGGCAGUGAGGUUCAUUUAUUACGGGACUUAGGCCAUUUUGGUUCAUUUAUUACACUUCUUGGGCGAUAUUUGGAGCUUCUUAGAGAGGUAUUUUCACCUAGCUAUUGAAGGUAUGUAAUUUCCAUCCAAUGUAAGUAAAAUACAAAGAUUAUGGGUAGAUUUUAGCAUGAAAAAUUAUGGGUUUAGUUGAAAAACCUAGAUUUUGAUAAAAAUGGGAUUUAAGCACAAAAAUGGUUAAGGAAUUGGGUGAAAACGGUAUAUUUGAGUUUGUGAGGUUAUGGGUAGCAAUUAUCUUCGAAACGUUUCGGAAUUCGGGCAUGUGGGCCCGGGGGUAAAUUUUAGGAAUCUUUCAAUUUGGGUUGGGUAAUUACUCUUAUAGUUAAAUUAUGAACUUUUGAACAUGUAUUGAUUAAUUUAUAUAACAUUUGACUAGUUUCGGGUUGUUUGGCACCGAGUUGUGGAUUUAAAGCAUAUUUGUGGAUCGGAAGUGAGCUUGAGAACGAGGUAAGUCUCUUGCCUAACCUUGUAAGAGGGAACUCAUCCCCUUAGGUGUAUUCUUGUUGCGAAUUACUUAUGCGCAGAGCUACGUACGCACUAGGUGACGAGAGUCCGUGCAUAGCUAUAUUCCAUGAGAUGUCCGAGUAGUCUUAGACUUACAUCAUGCCUCGAUUGUACUGUUAUGUUUAUUAUGUAUAUUAAUGGUAUUAAAUAAAGUUGAGAUUAGGGAUUUGUAAGGUUGAAACUUUCAAAUAUAGAUUUCUUAUUUUUGGGAAGAAUUGAGGAAUAUAUAAUAACUCUAAGAAAUCCAUGUCCACUUGCGUCGCAAGUACUUCCGUGAGCAUGGUAAAAUUCUCUACUCUCAUGGGAGCUAGCCAUUUGCCUCGGCAGGUUAAUAGAUGCAUCUAUGGUUUGUGUCGUUCGACGCUCGGCAGUGCACACAGUAUAUUUUGGAUCGGACCGUACGACCUCGACAUAAAUUGCACGAUAAUACUCGGAACCUGAUUUCACUUCAUAUUAUUUCAUGGCUUAUGAGGUUAUAAUUUACUUAAUGACAGAAAUUGAAUUGGGAUUAAUAGGUAUUGUCUAGAGAAAGUUUUGGAAUUUAUCAUUAGUUAAGGAGCCAUUUAUUAUUGUUAUUGUUAUUGUUAUUGUUAUUGUUAUUGUUCUUAUUGUUGUUGUUGUUGUUGUUGUUGUUGUUGUUAUUGUUAUUGUUGUUGUUGUUGUUGUUGUUGUUGUUGUUGUUGUUGUUGUUGUUGUUGUUGUUGUUGUUGUUGUUGUUGUUGUUGUUGUUGUUGUUGUUGUUGUUGUUGUUGUUGUUGUUGUUGUUGUUAUUGUUAUUGUUGUUGUUGUUGUUGUUGUUGUUGUUGUUGUUGUUGUUGUUGUUGUUGUUGUUGUUGUUGUUGUUGUUGUUGUUGUUGUUGUUGUUGUUGUUGUUGUUGUUGUUGUUGUUGUUGUUGUUGUUGUUGUUUCUUAUUGUUCCAUACCUGUUUAUAAUUCAUGUAUUUUAUUAUUGGCCCAUAGUAAGUGUUGAAGUCGACCCCUCAUCACUACUUCUUCGAGGUUAGACUGGAUACUUACUGGGUACAUAUUGUUUAUGUACUCACGCUAUACUUAUGCAGUAAUGGUGCAGGUUCUGAGGCAGGUGCAUCUGGUAGUUAUCCCAAUGCACACUCCCGAUACUUCGAGACUUAGUGGUGAGCUGCUUUUCGAGUCCGUUCUGCAGCACCCGGAGUCUCUCUUUUGCUUUUAUAUUCUGUCUACUCCAUUUUAGACAGUAGUUUAGUAUUUUGUAUAUUCUACUAGUAGCUCAUACACUUAUGACACCUGGUCUUGGGAUUAUGCUAGUAGAUAUUUGAUAAUAUUUGAGUAUUUAUUUCACCA